Molecule: ribosomal RNA, 255 nt
Filed under: uncultured bacterium
Lineage: Bacteria
Description: partial 16S ribosomal RNA
Rfam family: Bacterial small subunit ribosomal RNA
Source: RNAcentral
UACGAAGGGGGCUAGCGUUGCUCGGAAUCACUGGGCGUAAAGCGCACGUAGGCGGAUCUUUAAGUCAGGGGUGAAAUCCUGGAGCUCAACUCCAGAACUGCCUCUGAUACUGGGGAUCUUGAGUCCGGAAGAGGUAAGUGGAACUGCGAGUGUAGAGGUGAAAUUCGUAGAUAUUCGCAAGAACACCAGUGGCGAAGGCGGCUUACUGGUCCGGUACUGACGCUGAGGUGCGGAAAGCGUGGGGAGCAAACAGGG